CGCGCUGUGCCCUCCUCCUUAGCGGCGCGUGGCUCCCGUCACCUGGCAACUGCUGGGAGCCACCCCGGCGGAGGCGCCUUUGCGCCUUCCCGCCGCUAGAUGGCGGCUGGCGUCAUGUUGAUACCCUAUGGGGACCUGGAGGAGUCGAGUGAGGUCUCCCUUGAAUGGAAGACCCAGAGGCAGGAACUGGAAUUGCAUGGCUCCUUCGAUCCGUUUUCCCAAGGAUGCACAGUUUCCCAUCUCCACCCCAGCAGAGACGAAGAAUGAAGGGUCUAGAGAAGAGCAGAGCAGCCUCUCUGUGUGGAAACAUGAAAGUGUCGUCAAGAUGGAGUCUGAGGCGGAUGCAGAUGACUGCUGAGCAGGUGGCCUGCUGGAUGAUGAUGAUGAUGAUGAUGAAGACAGGGGUGUGAAGAGCUGGAACUGAUCACAGACGAUGAAGAAGAGGCUGAGGAAGGAGAGGCUGAGUCUUAAGCACAUGGUGGAAUUUAGAAAUCAUGUCCCAUCAUUCCUUACCUAUGACUUGUGAGAGAUUGAAGUAAAAGCAGUUCCUCUCCCCGGUGUCUUCAGCACAUCCCCACUGAUCUCCCUCUUUAUCCUUCCUGUGUGCAUACAAUCGUAAUUGCCUUGCACCUGGUUCCACUUUAACUUCCUCUGGUGCUCCUUGGUACUUCCUGUUAAGUCUUGCCCUUUAAGUUUUUCUUUAAAAUUUGGUACCUCUUGACUUCACAAUUAAAAGAUAUUUUUUAAUAAAAAAACCAAAACCA
Long non-coding RNA from Mesocricetus auratus (golden hamster), 764 nucleotides. RefSeq lists it as uncharacterized. The transcript has 2 exons. The record is from RefSeq and is a predicted model, not a curated record. Lineage: Eukaryota; Metazoa; Chordata; Mammalia; Rodentia; Cricetidae.